AUAUCUGUUCAGGGAGAGGUGAAAUUCCUCACUGGCGGUAAGGGGCGCAAGCCCUAAGUCCGCGACCCGCGCAAGCGGCUGAUCUGGUGAGAAUCCAGGACCAACGGUUACAGUCCGGAUGGAAGAACGGAAAC
RNAcentral lists this non-coding RNA (134 nucleotides) under Denitrobacterium detoxificans. RNAcentral's name for it is "FMN sequence". It matches the Rfam family "FMN riboswitch aptamer (RFN element)". From Rfam's summary of the family: The RFN element is a highly conserved domain that is found frequently in the 5'-untranslated regions of prokaryotic mRNAs that encode for flavin mononucleotide (FMN) biosynthesis and transport proteins. This element is a metabolite-dependent riboswitch that directly binds FMN in the absence of proteins. Lineage: Bacteria; Bacillati; Actinomycetota; Coriobacteriia; Eggerthellales; Eggerthellaceae. The record is from Rfam by way of RNAcentral.